UGAGCUUAAGUACUGAACUGCACCCAGGUA
This 30-nucleotide non-coding RNA is filed under the name Mus musculus (house mouse). Lineage: Eukaryota; Metazoa; Chordata; Mammalia; Rodentia; Muridae. The record is from RNAcentral.